ACGAAUUGUGCGAACGUUAUUCGGAAUCACUGGGCUUAAAGGGUGCGUAGGCGGUCAUGAAGGUCUGAUGUGAAAUCCCACGGCUCAACCGUGGAACUGCGUUGGAAACCACAUGACUGGAGUAGGACAGAGGUGAGCGGAACAGAUGGUGGAGCGGUGAAAUGCGUUGAUAUCAUCUGGAACACCGGUGGCGAAAGCGGCUCACUGGGUCCUAACUGACGCUGAGGCACGAAAGCCAGGGGAGCAAACGGG
This 252-nucleotide ribosomal RNA is filed under the name uncultured bacterium. Its description in RNAcentral is "partial 16S ribosomal RNA". It matches the Rfam family "Bacterial small subunit ribosomal RNA", at positions 525 to 776 of the family's 1533-position model. The record is from RNAcentral.